CGAUUCUGGCUCAGAACGAACGCUGGCGGCGCGUCUUAAGCAUGCAAGUCGAACGGCAAGAGGUAGCAAUACCUCCUAGAGUGGCGGACUGGUGAGUAACACGUGGGUGACAUACCCUUCAGAUGGGGAUAGCUAUUAGAAAUAGUAGAUAAUACCGAAUACGAGCACAGGGGUUAGAGAUCUGUGAGGAAAGGAGCUAAGGCUCCGCUGAAGGAAUGGCCUGCGGCCCAUUAGCUAGUUGGUGAGGUAAGAGCCCACCAAGGCGACGAUGGGUAUCCGGCCUGAGAGGGUGUACGGACACAUUGGGACUGAGAUACGGCCCAAACUCCUACGGGAGGCAGCAGCUAAGAAUAUUCCGCAAUGGACGAAAGUCUGACGGAGCGACGCCGCGUGGAUAGAAGAAGGCCGGAAGGUUGUAAAAUCCUUUUGCUGAUGAAGAAUAAGUGUGGUAGGGAAUGACCGCAUGAUGACAUUAGUCGGUGAAUAAGCCCCGGCUAACUACGUGCCAGCCGCCGC
This 516-nucleotide ribosomal RNA is filed under the name uncultured bacterium. RNAcentral's name for it is "bacterial SSU rRNA". It matches the Rfam family "Bacterial small subunit ribosomal RNA", at positions 14 to 518 of the family's 1533-position model. The record is from RNAcentral.